CAGUCAUUUGCUCUGCAGUUAACUGAACAACCUGCAGGCAAUAAGGGGGCUUGUAACAGAUAUUAUAAGACCCCCAGGUCCGCCAAGCCAUAAAAUGUCUAAAUUCCUUUGGGAUUUAUUAACUAAAUAGUGAAUUAUGGGCAUCUGCUAUCUGAAUUUAGAAUCAAAUGGCAGAAUUGGAAAAAACAAAAAUCUACUGAAU
Molecule: non-coding RNA, 202 nt
Organism: Pelobates cultripes (western spadefoot toad)
Lineage: Eukaryota; Metazoa; Chordata; Amphibia; Anura; Pelobatidae
Source: the annotation of a GenBank genome assembly